Sapajus apella (tufted capuchin) is the source of this 2550-nucleotide long non-coding RNA. RefSeq lists it as uncharacterized. The transcript is spliced from 2 exons. The record is from RefSeq and is a predicted model, not a curated record. NCBI's taxonomy places the organism in Eukaryota, Metazoa, Chordata, Mammalia, Primates, Cebidae.
AAAGCACAAACCCAACAGCUUGAUUGUAGGUCAGCCCUUUCUUGUAAUUUGCGGUUCCAUUUUCAGAGGUCCUAUUUUCCUGAUUUGUAACAUGGCUAGAACGAUACUGAGGGUAUUCAAAAGAAUCUGUGGCUCCUCAGAGUAAUUCUAGUUAGACUCCUGUUUUUGGGGUAAUUUGAUAUGCAAGAGCACACCAGAUGAGUAAACUACUAAUAAAUAAGUUAGUCAAGAAGCAUAAAUUAGGUUCUUCUCAUAGGAUAAUGAAUUGUUUUCUUAUUAAGCAUUGUUGGAAGCCGUAUUAGCUAUUCCGGCAAUGAGAAUUAUUCUUACAUCUGGUUUUAGUUUAGUGAUUCUUUUGUUAGGGGCAAAAAUGUGAGUUUGAGAAAACCUAAUACUACACAUUGUCAAAAAUAAUAAAUUACUGGAGUCAAUAAUGGUAAUAGUAAUGUGCUAACAGUUAUUUUUACUUUUCUUUUUGAGAGACAGGGUCUUGCUACAUUGCCCAAGCUGGACUUGAACUCCUGGUCUUAAGUACUUCUCCUGCUUCAGCCUUCUGAGUAGCUGAGAUUACAGAAUGGAUCAUUGGCUUUAAAAAUGAGGAUUAAAAGAUCCAAUUUUUCAUCCUACCGAUGUUUCAUCGAGAAAAUAUGAAACUGACAAAUCAGAGAAUUCUCUGACUCACAAGAUGGAGACAUCUGCUCCAGAGAAAGUGGGCUAAACUGUAAAUAAAGAAAAAAAUAUGAGGAAAGUUAUUUUUCCCUUGCCUUUACAGAUGUUAAUGAUUUAUUUAAUUGUGUCUUAUGCAACAAUCUUUUAAAUACUCUUAUGGUGCAAAUUAAUUGCCACAUCAGUUUGAGAUCAAUCAUUCAGAGUCUAAAGAAAAACAAACAAUGUAAAUGCAGAUGUGAUAAAUUAGUAUGUCAUCAACAGAACUGCACUUCUGCCUUACAAUAGAAUCUCUGGGCUUGCUGUAUUGCUUGUAGUUGUCUGUUAUCAGCUCCAACCAAGCACAGAAGAUCUUUUAUAUGAAAGUUGGCCACACACACAAGUGGUAGGGAAGCACUAUUUUGAAUCUCCUGGUUCUUCCUGAACAACCAUGUUGACGUUUGCGCUGAUAGUGCAAAAGCAACAGUGGGUAACACAGCUGCAUCUCAGCAGGAAUCAGAGCAGAGACAAUCCUCAUGCUACUCUUCACCACCACACACACACACACAGUCGAAACACCACGUUUUCACAUACGAAUGCUUGAUGAAGCAGUAUAACAUACUGAUUUUAUUAAACUGUUGCCCUCAAGGAUACUUUUAGAAAAGAAUUCUAUAUGGUGAAGAGGAAAGUGUGCAUAAAGCUCUUCUGCUUCAUAACAAAAAACGAUGGUUGUCUGGAGAAAAGCACUCCACUUGUACACCUGCACAAUUCUUUCAGCUGGGGCUCACCUGACUGCUUUUUGUCGUGAAAAUUGACUUGAAAGAAUGACUAGCAGAUAAGCAGUGGUUAGUCACACGUUGGGAUUAGACACAGACUUUCUCAAUAAUUAGCAAAAUGACUCAGUCCCCUAAGGAAAAUGACAGUAUUUGUAGCCCAUGAUAAAUUUUAGCUUUUAAGCAGAAAUUAGAAUCCUGGAAAAUCUAAGUCCACCAACAUAAGCUUCACAGCUUCCCAAUACUUAAACUCAUUUCUGAUGAGAUCCGUGGUGACAGUAAUGACUGUAGGUUUUGAUACUGCAUAUGAAAUAUGUCAAUGUUUGGAAGAUACACAUAAUGUAUACAUAAUAUACAAUGAACUAAGAUCUUCCACAUGAACCAUGCAUAAUGCUACAAAAUUAUACAAAAAGAUCCACUGCAAGUGCAAGACAGACCAAUGGGUUUUAAUGUAAUAGAGUAUAGAAAGUUAACUGACAUAAUUUCAGAUUCCACACUGCAACUAACCUUUAAAAAAUGACCAUUUUCAAAUUUUGGUGAGCUAUCAAAGCAGAAUUAUCCACAGUGAUCUGUGAUGGCUUUUAGAAUACUCCACCCUUUCCCAACUACUAUGUAUGUGGGGCUGGAUUUUCUUCAUACACUUCAACCGAAACAACACAUCCCACCAGAGGCAGAUAUGAGAAUCCAGCAGUCUUAGGGCAGAAAAUGAGACUUGCAAAAAUGUAAAACCAAUGCUGCUCUUGUCAAACUGUUUUUUUUGGCUUUGAAAAGAGCAUUUUUUUCAUAAAAAUACACUAUUUGUGUUAACAUGUAAUCAAAUUAUUUUUAUUUUUUAAAUGAAGAAAUAUAUUUUUAAAAAUUUGUUUUAGUUUCAAAUAUGGCAAAUAUUAAUAGGUGUUUAACAGAUCUUUAAAAAAACUCUUGGGAAUGUAUGAACACAAAGAAGGAAACAAUAGUUGCUGGGUCUACCUGAGAAGGGGUAGGAGGAGGUAGAGGAGCAAAAAAGGUAACUAUUGGGAACUAGGCUUAAUACCUGGGUGAUGAAAUAAUAUGUAUAACGAACCGCCAUGACAUGUGUUUACUACGUAACAAACCUUCACCUGUAUCCCCAACCCUAAAAUAAAAGUUAAAA